Long non-coding RNA from Cylas formicarius (sweet potato weevil), 362 nucleotides. RefSeq lists it as uncharacterized. The record is from RefSeq and is a predicted model, not a curated record. NCBI's taxonomy places the organism in Eukaryota, Metazoa, Arthropoda, Insecta, Coleoptera, Brentidae. The transcript has 3 exons.
UGGAAAGACUUGUAUUAUUAACAGAUUUUGCAAAAAAAUGUUCGAAACCAACUACAAAUCAACAAUUGGGGUUGAUUUUGAAGUUGAAAAAUUUAAAAUUAUUGGAAUACCCUUUUACCUGCAAAUAUAAUCAAGAAAAAUUGGUUAAAUUUACAACAACGGUUAUAGUUGCCGGUGUUCGUAAAAAUAAGGUAAAUGGAGAUUACUCAAUAAUUGCGAUGGGCACAUAUUCCUUUUCUCAGGACAUGCGGCGGGGCACGUACGACAAUUCAAACGCAAAAUGUUAAUGUAUCAAAAAAUGAGACAUACCCCCUUUGACAUUUCCACUCUUUAAUUUGCAAAUUAAUAUAAGCAAAAAGAAC